Molecule: RNA transcript, 949 nt
Organism: Fragaria vesca subsp. vesca
Lineage: Eukaryota; Viridiplantae; Streptophyta; Magnoliopsida; Rosales; Rosaceae
Exons: 5
Source: RefSeq, a predicted model, not a curated record
CUAAAAUCAAAUCUAGGGUAUGUCAGUGUCGACGGAAAGUAGAGCGAGCCGAUUGAUUUAUUUCAUCCGUUCGAACCCGAUCCAAAAUAUGCCCGGAAAUUGGGAGGAGAGUUCAUGGUGGUUGGUGGGUUUCCCGAGUUUGCGGUGGAUUCUGGCGUCGGCGUUGGAUUUUUGUUGUAUGAUGCGCAUAGAUGCAUUUCAGAAGAGAAGCAUCGAUUGAUCUUCCAUUUGGAGCUGGCGUUUGAUAGCUUGAUUCUGGACUCUGUAUGUUGAAGUCAAAGUAGAAGGUGGUUUGUCUUGUUGGUCACAACCAUGUCGCGUGGGCGAGCUGAUGGGGGCUCAAAGAAAUGAUCAGUCACCUUGGUUCUAGUUUUGGUGAUUAUUUGUGGAGGGUUGUACAUGUAUAUACUAAAAGAAAUGGUUCCACCACUUUGGAGUAUAGCAGUAAAAUAUGAAAAUCUGGUUCUACUUACUUGGGUGGGGAUGAAGAGGUUGAUGAGACACCUACCAAACUUGGUGAAGAUGAAGAUGAUAGUGUUGUACUGAAGAGCAUACCGGUUGUGAUGCUAGACAUUCAGAAUUAAUUCCUUGCUUGGACAGAAACCUUAUUUACCAAACAAGGUUGAAGUUGGACCGUCUUUGAUGGAACAUUAUGAGAGACACUGCCAGCCCUGCUCCUGAAAAGCGGUUUAACUGUUUAAUUCCUCCCCUACCUGGAUACAAGGUUCAAGUCAUCGAGUGCAAGCUAUUCGGGGGGCUUCUGCAAGUUGCAGUGUGUUCACUAGGAUUGAGGGUUUGGGGAUUUCGUCGUACUGUGAAAGAGUAGCAGCAGAGGAAUGAGUCAGUAACUCUGUACUAUUAUACAUAUUAAGAUACAAUACAGAUGUGAAGGUGCCAACUGACUUUUGUAUGGAUAUAUAAAUUUAACAAGGAUAUAUGGAGCAUUAUU